Molecule: ribosomal RNA, 536 nt
Filed under: Salmonella enterica subsp. enterica serovar Montevideo
Lineage: Bacteria; Pseudomonadati; Pseudomonadota; Gammaproteobacteria; Enterobacterales; Enterobacteriaceae
Description: partial 23S ribosomal RNA
Rfam family: Bacterial large subunit ribosomal RNA
Source: RNAcentral
GUCUUAACCGGGCGUUAAGUUGCAGGGUAUAGACCCGAAACCCGGUGAUCUAGCCAUGGGCAGGUUGAAGGUUGGGUAACACUAACUGGAGGACCGAACCGACUAAUGUUGAAAAAUUAGCGGAUGACCUGUGGCUGGGGGUGAAAGGCCAAUCAAACCGGGAGAUAGCUGGUUCUCCCCGAAAGCUAUUUAGGUAGCGCCUCGUGAAUUCAUCUCCGGGGGUAGAGCACUGUUUCGGCUAGGGGGCCAUCCCGGCUUACCAACCCGAUGCAAACUGCGAAUACCGGAGAAUGUUAUCACGGGAGACACACGGCGGGUGCUAACGUCCGUCGUGAAGAGGGAAACAACCCAGACCGCCAGCUAAGGUCCCAAAGUCAUGGUUAAGUGGGAAACGAUGUGGGAAGGCCCAGACAGCCAGGAUGUUGGCUUAGAAGCAGCCAUCAUUUAAAGAAAGCGUAAUAGCUCACUGGUCGAGUCGGCCUGCGCGGAAGAUGUAACGGGGCUAAACCAUGCACCGAAGCUGCGGCAGCGACGCU